RNAcentral lists this ribosomal RNA (419 nucleotides) under uncultured bacterium. RNAcentral describes it as "partial 16S ribosomal RNA". It matches the Rfam family "Bacterial small subunit ribosomal RNA", at positions 360 to 776 of the family's 1533-position model. The record is from RNAcentral.
AAUAUUGGUCAAUGGAGGCAACUCUGAACCAGCCAAGUCGCGUGAAGGAUGAAGGUCUUAUGGAUUGUAAACUUCUUUUAUACAGGAAUAAAGUUAGCCACGUGUGGUUUUUUGCAUGUACUGUAUGAAUAAGGAUCGGCUAACUCCGUGCCAGCAGCCGCGGUAAUACGGAGGAUCCGAGCGUUAUCCGGAUUUAUUGGGUUUAAAGGGUGCGCAGGCGGGAUGUUAAGUCGGCGGUGAAAUUUUGCGGCUCAACCGUAAAAGUGCCUUCGAAACUGGCCUUCUUGAGUAUGGAUGAAGUAGGCGGAAUUUGUGGCGUAGCGGUGAAAUGCUUAGAUAUCACGAGGAACUCCGAUUGCGCAGGCAGCUUACUAAACCAUAACUGACGCUCAUGCACGAAGGCGUGGGGAUCAAACAGG